CUACGGGGCGCUGCAGUGAGGAAUAUUGCACAAUGGGGGGAACCCUGAUGCAGCAACGCCGCGUGGAGGAUGACGCAUUUCGGUGUGUAAACUCCUUUUAUAUGUCAAGAAAAUGACGGUAGCAUAUGAAUAAGCACCGGCUAACUCCGUGCCAGCAGCCGCGGUAAUACGGAGGGUGCAAGCGUUACUCGGAAUCACUGGGCGUAAAGGACGCGUAGGCGGGCUUGUAAGUCAGGUGUGAAAUCCUACAGCUUAACUGUAGAACUGCACUUGAAACUACGAGCCUAGAGUGUGGGAGGGGCAGAUGGAAUUAGUGGUGUAGGGGUAAAAUCCGUAGAUAUCACUAGGAAUACCUAAAGCGAAGGCGAUCUGCUGGAACAUAACUGACGCUAAGGCGUGAAAGCGUGAGGAGCAAACAGGAUUAGAUACCCUUGUAGUC
This 439-nucleotide ribosomal RNA is filed under the name uncultured bacterium. RNAcentral describes it as "partial 16S ribosomal RNA". It matches the Rfam family "Bacterial small subunit ribosomal RNA", at positions 339 to 795 of the family's 1533-position model. The record is from RNAcentral.